UACGUAGGGGGCAAGCGUUGUCCGGAAUCAUUGGGCGUAAAGAGCGUGUAGGCGGCCCGAUAAGUCCGCUGUGAAAGUCCAGGGCUCAACCCUGGGAUGCCGGUGGAUACUGUCGGGCUCGAGUCCGGAAGAGGAGUGUGGAAUUCCUGGUGUAGCGGUGAAAUGCGCAGACAUCAGGAGGAACACCAAUGGCGAAGGCAGCUCGCUGGGACGGUACUGACGCUGAGGCGCGAAAGCGUGGGGAGCAAACAGG
Molecule: ribosomal RNA, 253 nt
Filed under: uncultured bacterium
Lineage: Bacteria
Description: partial 16S ribosomal RNA
Rfam family: Bacterial small subunit ribosomal RNA
Source: RNAcentral